UGGAGUAUAGCCAAGUGGUAAGGCAUCGGUUUUUGGUACCAGCAUGCAAAGGUUCGAAUCCUUUUACUCCAC
Molecule: non-coding RNA, 72 nt
Organism: Triticum aestivum (bread wheat)
Lineage: Eukaryota; Viridiplantae; Streptophyta; Magnoliopsida; Poales; Poaceae
Source: Rfam